This 497-nucleotide ribosomal RNA is filed under the name uncultured bacterium. RNAcentral describes it as "partial 16S ribosomal RNA". It matches the Rfam family "Bacterial small subunit ribosomal RNA", at positions 28 to 507 of the family's 1533-position model. The record is from RNAcentral.
GAUGAACGCUGGCGGCGUGCCUAAUACAUGCAAGUCGAGCGAACAGACGAGGAGCUUGCUCCUCUGACGUUAGCGGCGGACGGGUGAGUAACACGUGGAUAACCUACCUAUAAGACUGGGAUAACUUUGGGAAACCGGCUCUAAUACCGGAUAAUAUAUUGAACCGCAUGGUUCAAUAGUGAAGGACGGUUUUGCUGUCACUUAUAGAUGGAUCCGCGCCGCAUUAGCUAGUUGGUAAGGUAACGGCUUACCAAGGCAACGAUGCGUAGCCGACCUGAGAGGGUGAUCGGCCACACUGGAACUUAGACACGGUCCAGACUCCUACGGGAGGCAGCAGUAGGGAAUCUUACGCAAAGGGCGAAAGCUUGACGGAGCAACGCCGCGUGAGUGAUGAAGGUCUUCGGAUCGUAAAACUCUGUUAUUAGGGAAGAACAAAUGUGUAAGUAAAUAUGGACGUCGUGACGGUACCUAAUCAGAAAGCCACGGCUAACUACGUG